Molecule: small RNA, 1918 nt
Filed under: Rattus norvegicus (Norway rat)
Lineage: Eukaryota; Metazoa; Chordata; Mammalia; Rodentia; Muridae
Description: uncharacterized LOC102548579
Source: RNAcentral
CCUCCAGUUCUAGGAAAUCAGGGCCCUCUUCUGGCCAAAUGGGCGAAAGACACGAACACAUACCUUCAGGCAAAACACUCACACACAUAAAAUCAACAAUUUUGUAAUUAUUUUUUGAGUCCUCACUCUAGUAAGUGCUGGUGUCACAAUGACAGUGAUCUUCACUGUCAGCUGAGUAAAACCUAGGAGAUCAGUAAAGCAUUCCUCCGGGUGUGUCCUAACCAAGGGGAAAUUUUGUCCUGGAUAUCAGUGGUACCUACCGUCUUACAGACUGAGGUCCAGACGGAAUACAGCCGGAGAAAUGAACGAGCUCACAAGGGCAGGAAUCCUCUUCUUCCUCACAGUCACCAGGAUACGAGCUGUUCUGCCCUAUCACAAUUCUUUCUACAGCACGCUGAGACCAGUGCCGGGUUCUUUCUUUGAUAGUUUUUAAUAGCAAGUGUUUUUAUCACAGCAAUAAGGGUAUCAGUGUCGGCUUCUUUAUUGUAAAGUACAUGGCAGGUUUGUAUGUGGGUGGGUGGGGGGACUUUCUUUAAACUAUAGUCAGUACUCACUCUUCAGUUUACCUGGUUGUGCACCAAUACCCCAGAGUCCUACAUACUAUAUAUUUGUGGAAAAGUAAAUACAUUAAAACUGAAGCCCUCCAAUCUGACUGUUCUUUAGGACUAGAUUGACUAAUCUUGGUCCUUUUAUCUUUGUAUACGUUUCAGAAAUAGGUUGACAUUUUCUUGACGAAUGAGGUGGCAUUUGACAGAGAAUCCUGAAGGAAGACUGCCCCUGUCGGAACUCCUGUGAUGGACAAGGGAACUUUUUAAGAGUAAAGAGCUUCGAGUGGAGACCAGUUCAGCACGCCUAGGGUGGACAAGGCCCUGGGCUCUAACCCGGUACCUUAGAAAAGUAAAUGGGACUGACCAGAAUCCUUUACCAACACUGAUUUACAUCCAUAGUGAUUUCUGUAGAACACUUCGGACAUCGUUUCUAUUCUUUUGCGUAGCCGUGAAAGACAGUUGUGAAACCAAGGAAGAAAGAUGAGUGUUAAACUUCAAUAUGGAAGCCAGUACAGUGCCAUCAAAGGAAUGGAAGACAUUCUGAGAAGGUCUGCUCUGCCAUAUGAAAACAUGUAGGCCAUUGUGAUGGGAAUUUGAUAUUCACGCUAGUUCGUUUCCUGCUUUGCCUGUCCCAGGUUCCUGUGGUGUAUGCUUCCUGCGGAUCACAUGUUCACCGUUCACAGAAACCUUGGUAGGGUGCUCUGAACUCUAGGAACAAUGUGGAUGCAUCAAAGAAAAUCCUGCAAACUAUACUUUCAAAAAUGAAGAUAUUUCCAUAUUUUUAAAAUAAGAACACUGGGACAAGUAACUUGUGAUUUCGUGUCUUCCAAUACUUUGUUGGUAUGUCGUGAUUCUGUAGUACUGUUUUAUGUUGACACCUAGAAAUAAUGCAUCAGUUUUACUCACAUUUUAUUGUCUUCCAUGACAAGAAUGUGCCUUCUAAAUGAGUGAUUUAGAAAUUGAAUUGUCAAUGAAACAGUGAUUUUAGGUAGAGGCUUUGGGGGUAGUGCUUUGGGGAGUGUCUGGGGAAUCAGACCCCAGUAAUAAUCAGGGCAUUUACUUUCUUUUUCUGCCUAUUUAUUCAUAAUGUUAGAACAUACCAAGAAUGUUCUCACUAUAUGUAGUUGACUGUUACUCAUGAUCUGUGAAAAAAGUAAAUCUCUGUUCUCUAUAAAAUCAUCCAGGGUCAAGCAUUCUGUUAUAGUAGCAGAAAAUAUUGUUCCAACCAAGUUUAAUGUCAGGAUUGUCACAUUUGAAUGGAGACACCCAAACAACAUUAUUAAAGUUAAAUGGUGGCUCAAGGAUCAAAUGUCAGAGGGCAUAGGCAAGAAGUAAACCCAUUCUCAGAGCAGACAAAAGAAAGAAUACAA